AAAAUGACUCUCGGCAACGGAUAUCUCGGCUCUCGCAUCGAUGAAGAACGUAGCGAAAUGCGAUACUUGGUGUGAAUUGCAGAAUCCCGUGAACCAUCGAGUCUUUGAACGCAAGUUGCGCCCCAAGCCUUUAGGCCGAGGGCACGUCUGCCUGGGUGUCACGC
This 164-nucleotide ribosomal RNA is filed under the name Loxodiscus coriaceus. RNAcentral's name for it is "5.8S ribosomal RNA". It matches the Rfam family "5.8S ribosomal RNA". Rfam says of the family: 5.8S ribosomal RNA (5.8S rRNA) is a component of the large subunit of the eukaryotic ribosome. It is transcribed by RNA polymerase I as part of the 45S precursor that also contains 18S and 28S rRNA. The record is from RNAcentral. Lineage: Eukaryota; Viridiplantae; Streptophyta; Magnoliopsida; Sapindales; Sapindaceae.